This 500-nucleotide ribosomal RNA is filed under the name uncultured bacterium. Its description in RNAcentral is "partial 16S ribosomal RNA". It matches the Rfam family "Bacterial small subunit ribosomal RNA", at positions 28 to 507 of the family's 1533-position model. The record is from RNAcentral.
GACGAACGCUGGCGGCGUGCUUAACACAUGCAAGUCGAACGGGUCUGCCCUGUUUUUUGCGGGGUGGGUCAGUGGCGAACGGGUGAGUAACACGUGAGUAACCUGCCCCUCACUUCUGGAUAACCGCUUGAAAGGGUGGCUAAUACGGGGUGUUCUGGCUGUGCCGCAUGGUGUGGCUGGGAAAGAUUCACUUUUGUGGUGUUUUGGUGGGGGAUGGGCUCGCGGCCUAUCAGCUUGUUGGUGGGGUGAUGGCCUGCCAAGGCUUUGACGGGUAGCCGGCCUGAGAGGGUGGGCGGUCACACUGGGACUGAGAUACGGCCCAGACUGCUGCGGGAGGCAGCAGUGGGGGGUAUUGCACAAUGGGCGGAAGCCUGAUGCAGCGACGUCGCGUGAGGGAUGGAGGCCUUCGGGUUGUGAACCUCUUUCGCCGGUGAAGAAGGUCCUGCUCUUUGUGGUGGGGUUGACGGUAGCCGGGUUAUGAAGCGCCGGCUAACUACGUG